GAUGAACGCUGGCGGCGUGCCUAAUACAUGCCAGUCGAGCGAACAGACGAGGAGCUUGCUCCUCUGACGUUAGCGGCGGACGGGUGAGUAACACGUGGAUAACCUACCUAUAAGACUGGGAUAACUUCGGGAAACCGGGGCUAAUACCGGAUAAUAUAUUGAACCGCAUGGUUCAAUAGUGAAAGACGGUUUUGCUGUCACUUAUAGAUGGAUCCGCGCCGCAUUAGCUAGUUGGUAAGGUAACGGCUUACCAAGGCAACGAUGCGUAGCCGACCUGAGAGGGUGAUCGACCACACUGGAACUGAGACACGGUCCAGACUCCUACGGGAGGCAGCAGUAGGGAAUCUUCCGCAAUGGGCGAAAGCCUGACGGAGCAACGCCGCGUGAGUGAUGAAGGUCUUCGGAUCGUAAAACUCUGUUAUUAGGGAAGAACAAAUGUGUAAGUAACUAUGCACGUCUUGACGGUACCUAAUCAGAAAGCCACGGCUAACUACGUG
Molecule: ribosomal RNA, 497 nt
Filed under: uncultured bacterium
Lineage: Bacteria
Description: partial 16S ribosomal RNA
Rfam family: Bacterial small subunit ribosomal RNA
Source: RNAcentral